RNAcentral lists this ribosomal RNA (808 nucleotides) under uncultured bacterium. Its description in RNAcentral is "bacterial SSU rRNA". It matches the Rfam family "Bacterial small subunit ribosomal RNA", at positions 79 to 882 of the family's 1533-position model. The record is from RNAcentral.
CUUGCUUCUCUUGAGAGCGGCGGACGGGUGAGUAAUGCCUAGGAAUCUGCCUGGUAGUGGGGGAUAACGUUCGGAAACGGACGCUAAUACCGCAUACGUCCUACGGGAGAAAGCAGGGGACCUUCGGGCCUUGCGCUAUCAGAUGAGCCUAGGUCGGAUUAGCUAGUUGGUGGGGUAAUGGCUCACCAAGGCGACGAUCCGUAACUGGUCUGAGAGGAUGAUCAGUCACACUGGAACUGAGACACGGUCCAGACUCCUACGGGAGGCAGCAGUGGGGAAUAUUGGACAAUGGGCGAAAGCCUGAUCCAGCCAUGCCGCGUGUGUGAAGAAGGUCUUCGGAUUGUAAAGCACUUUAAGUUGGGAGGAAGGGUUGUAGAUUAAUACUCUGCAAUUUUGACGUUACCGACAGAAUAAGCACCGGCUAACUCUGUGCCAGCAGCCGCGGUAAUACAGAGGGUGCAAGCGUUAAUCGGAAUUACUGGGCGUAAAGCGCGCGUAGGUGGUUUGUUAAGUUGGAUGUGAAAUCCCCGGGCUCAACCUGGGAACUGCAUUCAAAACUGACUGACUAGAGUAUGGUAGAGGGUGGUGGAAUUUCCUGUGUAGCGGUGAAAUGCGUAGAUAUAGGAAGGAACACCAGUGGCGAAGGCGACCACCUGGACUAAUACUGACACUGAGGUGCGAAAGCGUGGGGAGCAAACAGGAUUAGAUACCCUGGUAGUCCACGCCGUAAACGAUGUCAACUAGCCGUUGGGAAGCCUUGAGCUUUUAGUGGCGCAGCUAACGCAUUAAGUUGACCGCCUGGGGAGUA